RNAcentral lists this ribosomal RNA (759 nucleotides) under Marinobacter sp. Its description in RNAcentral is "bacterial SSU rRNA". It matches the Rfam family "Bacterial small subunit ribosomal RNA", at positions 39 to 789 of the family's 1533-position model. Lineage: Bacteria; Pseudomonadati; Pseudomonadota; Gammaproteobacteria; Pseudomonadales; Marinobacteraceae. The record is from RNAcentral.
GCAGGGCGCAGCUUACCAUGCAGUCGAGCGGUAACAGGGGUAGCUUGCUACCCGCUGACGAGCGGCGGACGGGUGAGUAAUGCAUAGGAAACUGCCCAGUAGUGGGGGAUAGCCCGGGGAAACCCGGAUUAAUACCGCAUACGUCCUUCGGGAGAAAGCAGGGGAUCUUCGGACCUUGCGCUAUUGGAUGUGCCUAUGUCGGAUUAGCUGGUUGGUGAGGUAAUGGCUCACCAAGGCGACGAUCCGUAGCUGGUCUGAGAGGAUGAUCAGCCACAUCGGGACUGAGACACGGCCCGAACUCCUACGGGAGGCAGCAGUGGGGAAUAUUGGACAAUGGGGGCAACCCUGAUCCAGCCAUGCCGCGUGUGUGAAGAAGGCUUUCGGGUUGUAAAGCACUUUCAGUGAGGAGGAAAAGUUAGUCCUUAAUACGGGCUAGCCUUGACGUUACUCACAGAAGAAGCACCGGCUAACUCCGUGCCAGCAGCCGCGGUAAUACGGAGGGUGCAAGCGUUAAUCGGAAUUACUGGGCGUAAAGCGCGCGUAGGUGGUUUGAUAAGCGAGAUGUGAAAGCCCCGGGCUUAACCUGGGAACGGCAUUUCGAACUGUCAGGCUAGAGUGUGGUAGAGGGUAGUGGAAUUUCCUGUGUAGCGGUGAAAUGCGUAGAUAUAGGAAGGAACACCAGUGGCGAAGGCGGCUACCUGGACCAACACUGACACUGAGGUGCGAAAGCGUGGGGAGCAAACAGGAUUAGAUCCCCGG